UAGGGAAUAUUGGACAAUGGGUGCAAGCCUGAUCCAGCCAUGCCGCGUGCAGGAAGAAGGCCUUCUGGGUUGUAAACUGCUUUUUGCCAGGGGAUAAAAUUUCUUUGCGAAGAAAAUUGAAGGUACCUGGUGAAUAAGCCACGGCUAACUACGUGCCAGCAGCCGCGGUAAUACGUAGGUGGCAAGCGUUGUCCGGAUUUAUUGGGUUUAAAGGGUGCGUAGGCGGUUCCAUAAGUCAGUGGUGAAAUACAAUAGCUUAACUAUUGAGGUGCCAUUGAUACUGCGGAACUUGAGUACAGACGAGGUAGGCGGAAUUGACGGUGUAGCGGUGAAAUGCUUAGAUAUCGUCAAGAACACCGAUAGCGAAGGCAGCUUACUAGACUGUAACUGACGCUGAGGCACGAAAGUGUGGGGAUCAAACAGGAUUAGAUACCCAGGUAGUCCCUGAGCGGGCUGGCAAGGCGCAU
RNAcentral lists this ribosomal RNA (467 nucleotides) under uncultured bacterium. RNAcentral's name for it is "bacterial SSU rRNA". It matches the Rfam family "Bacterial small subunit ribosomal RNA", at positions 355 to 825 of the family's 1533-position model. The record is from RNAcentral.